Molecule: long non-coding RNA, 894 nt
Organism: Hippoglossus stenolepis (Pacific halibut)
Lineage: Eukaryota; Metazoa; Chordata; Actinopteri; Pleuronectiformes; Pleuronectidae
Exons: 3
Source: RefSeq, a predicted model, not a curated record
CCUGUUUGGCCUGUAUCACACUCUAACCAGUGACACCACCUUAAAGGGUAUGAACCAGCACAAUCCAUAUGAAGACAUCUCCUCGGCUUCAGGAGUCAGGAGCAUUGGAGAGGAUCAGUCAUCUGAGACACUGAGGAAGUGCGGCAGCAGCAGGGAGGCGUGAGGCAAGAGGAGCCGCCUUCUGAAGAGCUGACUGACAGGCUGUCACUGGUGGAACCAUUCACAUCCUUUACUUAAAAAGCACCAAUGCAUCAAUCUGAAAACUCCCCGUUCCAAGUGCAGAUCCGGUCCCGUUUGACUGAUAAAUUGUUUUGUGUGACAACAUUAUGAUUAAUUCUGCAGCACCAGGGGGAGCAGCAUCUUGCUGCUGCAGGUGGAGCUUGUUUAAACUUUAUAUAUGGUUUUAGAUACUGGGACGACUUAUGAAUCUGAGGGUUUCUGAUGAUUUAUGGAAGAGGGAAGGAGAAAGUUCGGAUGCACACAUCUGUUUUCCCUUUUCUCUAAUCUUUUACUUUUUGGUGAGAUAUGAGAGAAUUUUCUACAUUUAUUGAAAUGAAACCAUGUGAGAAGUUUAGUGUGAAAAAUCAUAACGUGGCUGAGCUGUUAACAAAUCAUCCGAAAUGUGACCCCGACUACAAACUGCUUCUCACAAGACGUCAGAAACCACAAAAAGUUGGAAACCAGUGAUGUAACAGUAUCUUGGACAGUGUUGUAUUUUAGGAACUUGAUAUAUUAUCCAUUGUUAAAAAAUUCAUCUUAACUUUUAACCAAAGCUGUCAAAUAACCGUAUACGAGUCAAAGUACUUCAUACAUAUACCUCUGGAAUCUGGAGCAGUGGAAGUAUACAGCAGCAUAAAAUGUUAAUACAUAAAAAAUGAGUACCUGAGUAUGAUA